This 492-nucleotide ribosomal RNA is filed under the name uncultured bacterium. RNAcentral describes it as "partial 16S ribosomal RNA". It matches the Rfam family "Bacterial small subunit ribosomal RNA", at positions 30 to 507 of the family's 1533-position model. The record is from RNAcentral.
AUUGAACGCUGGCGGCAUGCUUUACACAUGCAAGUCGAACGGUAACAGGCCUUCGGGUGCUGACGAGUGGCGAACGGGUGAGUAAUGCAUCGGAACGUGCCCAGAGGUGGGGGAUAACGCAGCGAAAGCUGUGCUAAUACCGCAUGUGAUCUGAGGAUGAAAGCGGGGGACCAGGCAGCAAUGUUUGGCCUCGCGCCUUUGGAGCGGCCGAUGUCAGAUUAGGUAGUUGGUGGGGUAAAGGCCUACCAAGCCGACGAUCUGUAGCUGGUCUGAGAGGACGACCAGCCACACUGGGACUGAGACACGGCCCAGACUCCUACGGGAGGCAGCAGUGGGGAAUUUUGGACAAUGGGCGCAAGCCUGAUCCAGCAAUGCCGCGUGCGGGAAGAAGGCCUUCGGGUUGUAUACCGCUUUUGUACGGAACGAAAAGGCUCUGGCUAAUACCUGGGGCUGAUGACGGUACCGUAAGAAUAAGCACCGGCUAACUACGUG